CACGUAGGCGGCAUUGCAAGUCGGAUGUGAAAUCCCUCGGCUUAACCAAGGAAGUGCAUCCGAAACUGCCGUGCUUGAGUACGAAAGAGGAUCGCGGAAUUCCCGGUGUAGAGGUGAAAUUCGUAGAUAUCGGGAGGAACACCAGUGGCGAAGGCGGCGAUCUGGGUCGAUACUGACGCUGAGGUGCGAAAGCGUGGGGAGCAAACA
This 207-nucleotide ribosomal RNA is filed under the name uncultured bacterium. Its description in RNAcentral is "partial 16S ribosomal RNA". It matches the Rfam family "Bacterial small subunit ribosomal RNA", at positions 568 to 774 of the family's 1533-position model. The record is from RNAcentral.